GUUGCACACUUUUGCUAGAACUCAGUUUCCUGCUCAUGGAUAUUGGGUGUAUAUGUUGUGCAACAGAAAAGUCGGCAGGAAUUUCGCUAACACCACAAGGGUUCACAGCCCUAUGAGUGGAGUUUGAUAGUACUCUUUGCCACAUUG
Molecule: non-coding RNA, 147 nt
Organism: Branchiostoma floridae (Florida lancelet)
Lineage: Eukaryota; Metazoa; Chordata; Leptocardii; Amphioxiformes; Branchiostomatidae
Source: Rfam